Long non-coding RNA from Girardinichthys multiradiatus, 512 nucleotides. RefSeq lists it as uncharacterized. The transcript has 2 exons. Lineage: Eukaryota; Metazoa; Chordata; Actinopteri; Cyprinodontiformes; Goodeidae. The record is from RefSeq and is a predicted model, not a curated record.
GCGUGGUAAACAGCUCGACCUCUGCUGCUGCAGCCCUGUUUCCUACUUUUUCUCUGAUCAUCUUGUUUUUUCUCCUGUGCCUCUAGGAAAUGUUUCUACCGGAGUUUCUGUGGGCUUAAUGUCUCCUGCCCUGUUGAGAUGAAUGUGGAAAUUCAAGCCUCAAAGAACUUUGGCUGUAAGUCUCCUUUCUGCCUCCCUCCUGGACCCAGGCUUCUGGAAACAACUUUUUUAUCAAGCUUCUGAGAACCAUCCAUCUGCCUGUCCACCCACCCAUGGAUCAUCGUUUCCCCAUGGGGCCCGCUGAAUGGAGUAAAGCACAAAGUCAGAACAACGAGGAAGUACUUUUCUCCGCUGCUGCACCCCCCUGUCAACCUCAACCAUCUUGGUAAAGACUUAUUCCUCCCUGACCUGGCUAAGGGCUUCUUUGCUUGAGAUCCCAAUCCUGUCUGCUGACCCAGUCUGGAUUCCAGAACGAACUUACAUUUGUGAAUAAAUAAACUGUUUAAACACUG